RNAcentral lists this ribosomal RNA (484 nucleotides) under uncultured bacterium. RNAcentral describes it as "partial 16S ribosomal RNA". It matches the Rfam family "Bacterial small subunit ribosomal RNA", at positions 30 to 507 of the family's 1533-position model. The record is from RNAcentral.
AUUGAACGCUGGCGGCAGGCCUAACACAUGCAAGUCGAGCGGAUGAAGGGAGCUUGCUCCUGGAUUCAGCGGCGGACGGGUGAGUAAUGCCUAGGAAUCUGCCUGGUAGUGGGGGAUAACGUCCGGAAACGGGCGCUAAGACCGCAUAGGUCCCGAGGGAGAAAGAGGGGGAUCUUCGGACCUCACGCUAUCAGAUGAGCCUAGGUCGGAUUAGCUAGUUGGUGGGGUAAAGGCCUACGAAGGCGACGAUCGGUAACUGCUAUGAAAGGAUGGUCCGUCACCCUAGCAGUGAGAGACACUCGCCACACUUGCGGGAGGCCGCAGUCGGGAAUAUUGGACGAUGCGGGAGUGCCUGAUACAGCACUGCCGCGUGUGUGCAGAAGGUCCUCCGACUGGUAAGCAAUUAAAGUUGGGAGUAAGGAAAGUAAGUUCAGCCCUGGAUGUUUUGACGUUACCAACAGAAUAAGCACCGGCUAACUUCGUG